Molecule: ribosomal RNA, 291 nt
Filed under: Phycisphaerales bacterium
Lineage: Bacteria; Pseudomonadati; Planctomycetota; Phycisphaerae; Phycisphaerales
Description: partial 16S ribosomal RNA
Rfam family: Bacterial small subunit ribosomal RNA
Source: RNAcentral
GCAGGUACAGAACGAUGCAAUACCGCGAGGUGGAGCAAAUCGCAAAAGCCUGCCCCAGUUCGGAUUGGAGGCUGCAACUCGCCUCCAUGAAGUUGGAAUCGCUAGUAAUCGCGGAUCAGCAAUGCCGCGGUGAAUACGUUCCUGAGCCUUGUACACACCGCCCGUCAAGUCAUGGAAGCUGGUAGCGCCCGAAGUCGCCACAAUUCAGUGGUGCCCACGGCGAGACUGGUGACUGGGACUAAGUCGUAACAAGGUAGCCGUAGGGGAACCUGCGGCUGGAUCACCUCCUUU